Molecule: long non-coding RNA, 586 nt
Organism: Nymphaea colorata (pocket water lily)
Lineage: Eukaryota; Viridiplantae; Streptophyta; Magnoliopsida; Nymphaeales; Nymphaeaceae
Exons: 2
Source: RefSeq, a predicted model, not a curated record
CCUUGAGCCCCCGACCCCGUUCUCUUUCUCUCUUCUCCUCCGUCUCCAUCCCCGAGUUGCCUUUCUCCUCUGUCUCCGCCCCCCGAGCUGCCCUAGCCCUUCUUUUUCUCUCCUUCUCCUCCGUCCUCCGAGCUACCUGAGCCCUUUCUCUUUCUCUCCUUCCCCUCCGUCUCUGGGGGAGGGCGCUUGCCGGAUGAAGUUUCUCACGAAUGAGGAUUCUCGGCACACUUUUCAGAGAAGAGGAUUUUUGGUGGAUUUCUCUCUUUCUCUCAUCCAAGCCAACAUUCAGAGAAUGACCGGCCAUGGAGUUCAGUCGGCCAGUGUUUGGGUUUGCUAUUUGAGGAAGCAAAUACAUCCCAAAUCAUUUUUACAGGAUGAACGGAAAUGAUGAGUAGACUCUUGAGAAGGAACGGAAAUGAUGAGUAGACUCUUGAUGGCCAUUGUACAGUACUAUUAUAGAAAGAAAGAGUAUAGAAAUGGGGAGACCUCUAUUGACAGUAUAGGGAAGUAGAGAAGGUUGUUUACAUUUAUGCAUGUAAUAAUGAAGAAUAAAGAUUCAUGGACAAUAUAAUUGUUUUUGUAUAAA